Molecule: ribosomal RNA, 204 nt
Filed under: Triticum aestivum (bread wheat)
Lineage: Eukaryota; Viridiplantae; Streptophyta; Magnoliopsida; Poales; Poaceae
Description: partial small subunit ribosomal RNA
Source: RNAcentral
AUGACAGGCUCCAACUCGAGUGUACAUGGAGGAAAUAUUAUGGAAGAAGAGUUCCCAAAGACUCGAGCAACACUGGGUGAUGUGAUUGAAGAAAGUAUAGCUGCAGCUCUGCAAAGGAUGUUUGGAGGUCGCCUUCCUAUGGCGGGUAAUGGGGAUCUACAUCAACACAACCCCGUUGUCUCGAUGGUUGCCGACAACCGAUGA